Molecule: ribosomal RNA, 495 nt
Filed under: uncultured bacterium
Lineage: Bacteria
Description: partial 16S ribosomal RNA
Rfam family: Bacterial small subunit ribosomal RNA
Source: RNAcentral
GACGAACGCUGGCGGCAUGCCUAAUACAUGCAAGUAGAACGCUGAAGGAGGAGCUUGCUUCUCUGGAUGAGUUGCGAACGGGUGAGUAACGCGUAGGUAACCUGCCUGGUAGCGGGGGAUAACUAUUGGAAACGAUAGCUAAUACCGCAUAAGAUUGACUAUUGCAUGAUAGUCAGUUAAAAGGUGCAAUUGCAUCACUACCAGAUGGACCUGCGUUGUAUUAGCUAGUUGGUGGGGUAACGGCUCACCAAGGCGACGAUACAUAGCCGACCUGAGAGGGGGAUCGGCCACACUGGGACUGAGACACGGCCCAGACUCCUACGGGAGGCAGCAGUAGGGAAUCUUCGGCAAUGGACGGAAGUCUGACCGAGCAACGCCGCGUGAGUGAAGAAGGUUGUCGGAUCGUAAAGCUCUGUUGUAAGAGAAGAACGAGUGUGAGAGUGGAAAGUUCACACUGUGACGGUAUCUUACCAGAAAGGGACGGCUAACUACGUG